Molecule: long non-coding RNA, 499 nt
Organism: Myotis daubentonii (Daubenton's bat)
Lineage: Eukaryota; Metazoa; Chordata; Mammalia; Chiroptera; Vespertilionidae
Source: RefSeq, a predicted model, not a curated record
CCUGCAGCUGGCAACAGGCAAAGAGAGGAGCGCACUAGGGAACCCGCGGGACGGCCAAGUGACCAGCAAUCUGCGCUCCUCUGGAAGCGGAGGAUGGCGAGAAGAGGCCACCAGAGAAAUGAAGGGCCAGAAGCGGAGAGGCUGAACUCUGUACCUCCAUCGAGUCCGGGCUGCUGGGUGAGGGGCUGCAGGUGGCGCAGCCAGAGGGCACGGCCACCCGACUGCCUUUCCUUUCGAGCUACGGCGCCGCCGGAGAGCGAGUGAACUGGUUGCCACAGGCUGUUUGGCAAGAUAUUGAAAAUUACUCACACCAAUGAACAAGUAUAUUCCACUGUAAAAGUUAAAAGCAAAGACCAAGAUUGAUGAAAUAAUUUGAAACUGCCUGAAGAUAAAUAACUAGUACAAUUAUAAUGUGGGAAGCAGCGAAAAUUAACUAACUCCCAGAAUUGACUUAAUAUUUCUUUGAAUUUAAAGAAUUAAAAGUAAAAUGAUAGUUUUA